ACAGCCACUCCGCGUCCACCCG
This 22-nucleotide microRNA is filed under the name Gallus gallus (chicken). Its description in RNAcentral is "gga-miR-12244-5p". The record is from miRBase by way of RNAcentral. Lineage: Eukaryota; Metazoa; Chordata; Aves; Galliformes; Phasianidae.